UACGGGGGGGGCAAGCGUUGUUCGGAAUUACUGGGCGUAAAGUGUGCGCAGGCGGCCGCGCAAGUCGAGUGUGAAAGCCCCGAGCUUAACUUGGGAAUUGCGCUCGAAACUACGUGGCUGGAGUGUGGCAGAGGAAGGUGGAAUUCCACGUGUAGCGGUGAAAUGCGUAGAGAUGUGGAGGAACACCGAUGGCGAAGGCAGCCUUCUGGGCCAACACUGACGCUCAUGCACGAAAGCGUGGGGAGCAAACAGG
Molecule: ribosomal RNA, 253 nt
Filed under: uncultured bacterium
Lineage: Bacteria
Description: partial 16S ribosomal RNA
Rfam family: Bacterial small subunit ribosomal RNA
Source: RNAcentral